UGGUCGAUGGUUAUACCUUAUGUUGUCUGAAUUGAUUUGUUUUUGUUUUUUUUUUUACUUCUUCCGAUUAUAUGUAAUAUUUAUGACUUUCAAAUAUACGCAGUUUCGUUCAAAGAGGAUCAGCCUACAAUUGAAUAAAUGAAGCUAAUAAUGAAACUGACGGAAUUUUUGUUUCUUGCUUCGUUUCUAUUUGGGGAAAGUUCACAUGCUCCUGCAGGUAAGUGUAACUUAAGGUUAUAAUAGUUGAUAAAUUUUGAAUAACAAUAUAUAAUUACAUUUCUUCAAAAGGAUAUUAAUAAUUAGAUUUCUAAGUGAUGAUUUAGGUCGAAAUACACGUUACAUUAAUGUGUUAACCUCCUAUUAUUGACAAGGUAUUAUAAUAAUGUACAAGAAUAUUUAAAACUGGAAAAAAAUAUACUCGAAUUAACCCGUAAUUGACUGGUUCUGUCAUAAAUGUAAUUAUAAAGACACUUUAGAGCGUCAUACCUACAAACAAAUAUCCAGAUUUAUGUAAAUUGCUCGUUAAAAUUAUUGUGUAAAAAAAAUUGUUCCUUGUUUUUUUUUUAAACCUCUUAUUUAAAUUUUUAUAGUUAUCAUAUCAAAGUUUGUUGCAAAUCUACAACUUCCCAAGAAGCGUUUCUUUUUCUUGGUGGUGAUAUUACAUUUCCUCCAUCUACCACUUUCCAAUGCAUACAUGAUUUGACUACUUCAUAUUCAUUAGAAGUAAAUAAAGUAUGUACUCUUGAUUAAAGUUUAUAUCAUUACUGAAUAUUAUUAUGUACUCACAAGUCACUGACAUAUGUAUUUUUAACAGGUUCCCUUUAUACAAACACAAAUACAUGUAGGGGAAUUUUAUUAUUAUGAACGACUGGAAAAAAACAUAAGGAUUGUGUUUCACCAUUAAUAGGUUUAAUUAUACGAUGCAUUUGUAUCUUAACCCAUGAGAGUUAUGAUUGAGAGGUUUUAGAUGUUAGGAUACAUUGUAUCUUAACUCAUGAAAGAUAUGUUUGAGAGGUUUUAGACGUUAGGAUACCAUAAUAACAUUUCUUCACAAGGAUAUUUACAUUUUGAUUUCAAAGUGAUGUGUUAGGUCUAAAUAAAUGUUACGGCAAUGUUGAAACAUCCUGUUAUUUACAAGGUACAUAAUACUGUACAGGAAUAUUUAAAACAGGAAAACAAUAUGCUUGAUCUAACCCGUAAUUUAUUGUUUGUGUCUUAAAUGUUAUUAUCCAGACUUCAGAGCUUCAUACCAACAAUCAAAUAUCCAAAUUUAUGUACAUCUACCCGCUAGCUUGAUCGUUAAAAUCUUAAUUGAAAAGGAGAUCAGUUUCUUGUUUUGUUUAAAACCCUAACUUUGUAUUUUUAUAGUUAUCAUACCAAAAUGUGUUGCAAAUCUACAAAUUCCCGUGUAGCGUUUCUUUUUCUUGGUGAUUAUAUUACAUUUGCUCUAUCUAUCGCUUUCCAAUAAAUAAAUGAUUUGACUACUUCACAACUCUUAGAAGUAAAUAGUAUGUACUCUUAAAUAAAGUUGAUAUCAUAACUGGAUAUCAUUAUGUACUGCAAACACGGAUAGAGGAAUAUAAUUAGUAUGAACGAUUAAUAGGUUGAUUGAUACGAUAAGUCUGUAUCUUAACUCAUGAGAGAUAUGUUUGAGAUAUUCUAUAUUAGACCUUAAGAUGCACCGUAUAUUACCUCAUGAGAGAUAUGUUUUAGAGGUAUUAGACCUUAAAAUACACUGUAUCUUAACUCAUGAAAAAUAUGUUUGAGAGGUAUCAGACCUUAAAAUACACUGUAUCUUAACUCAUGAAAGAUAUGUUUGAGAGGUAUCAGACCUUAAUUAAAAUACACUGUAUCUUAACUCAUGAAAGAUAUGUUUGAGAUGUUUUAUACCUUAACAACACUGUAUCAUAACUAAUGUGAGAUGUGUUUGAGAUGUAUUAAACCUUAAGAUACACUGUAUCUUAAUGCAUGACAGAUAUGUUUGAGAGAUAUCAUAAUUUAAAACACACUGUAGCUUAACUCAUGAAAGAUAUGUUUGAGACAUAUAAGACCUUGAAAUACACUGUAUCUUAACUCAUGAAAGAUACGUUUGAGAGGUUUUAGACCUUAAUAUACAAUAUAUUUUAAACUGAUGAAAGAUAUGUUUGAGAGGAAUUAGACCUUACGAUACACUGUAUUUUAACUGAUGAGAGAUGUGUUUUGGAGGUAUUAUGCCUUUUAAGAAACACUGAAUCUUAACUCAAGAGAGAUUUGUUUGAGCAGUAUAAGACCGUAAUAUACACUGUAUCUUAAACUCAUGAAAGAUAUGUUUGAGAUAAUUUUAACCUUACGAUACACUCUAUCUGAACUGAUGAGAGAUUUGUUUAAGAGGUAUUAUGCCUUUUUUUAUGCCUUCACGAGGGCUAUGCUUGACCGGUAUUAAACCGUAAUAUACACUGUAUCUUAACUCAUGAAAGAUAUGUUUGAGAUGUAUUAGAUCUAAAGAUACACUGUAUCUAAACUCAUAUGAGAGAUAUGUUUGACGGGAAUUAGACCUUAAAAUGCACUGUAUCUUAAUGAUACAAGAUUGUAGAUCUUUAGUGUUUACAGGACCUAAGCAAACUGGUUAUCUUAACCUCGUGACAUAUUUUUGAGAAACUGAAAUUUGUCCUAUGUUAUACUGUAUCUACUCAUGAAGGAUGUGUUUGAAGAGAUGACUAGAUACUAUAAGAUACACUCGUAUCUCGACUUUAAAGUUAUGUUUGAGGAUAGCUCUUUGAGGUAUUUUAACGCAAGACAGAUAUGUUUGAGAGGUAUUUAUACCUUUAACACACACUGAAUUAUAGUCAUAACGAGAUAUGCUUGGAAUAUUCAAACUUUAAGAUACACUGUAUGCUUAACUAGAGCGGUAUGCGUUGCAGAGGUAUUAGACGCUUUAGCUACACUGGAUCUUAACUCAUGCAUAUCUAAUAUAUUAUUAUAUACUAUAUAUAUAUAUAUUCUGAGAGAGAAUUAAAAUUGAGAGACGAUAAAAAACGUUGUGAAAUCUUUUAUUUUACAAAUUAUGUAUAAUUCCUUACCUUGACAUUUUAAUUGUAUCUGCAAAAAUAUGGCUCGGUUAUGGGUGUUAACUUUGAUUUGUAAGUGUUGACUAAGACAAAUCAUCUAACACAAAACAUGUAUGUGUAUUUAUAUCCGCUGUCUGUUUAACAUUUAACAGUUACAAAACAAGGCAUCUUUUUUAAAGCACUUUAAAGAAUUGUGAUUAUGAUAAUUAGAACAUAUUCUGGGUUAUCUAUGAUAAAGAUAGCUUCGUUCUCAUCCCAUAUGGAGUUUACAUAUCCCAUAUGUAUCUCAUUAUGUCACUAGCACACUGUGCAACUAAUUUAUCUUACCGACUUUCUUAACAUGUGGCGUUUAGACUAGUUGCCUAUCAAAAUUAUUAAGUCUUCAAGAUGAAAUAUAAAAAAACCUACUUUCAUUGGUCUAUACCACAAUAAAUGCCAACAUUAACAUGUGUUAGCUUUUAGUGCGUUUUCUGCAUUUUUUUUUCAAUUGGUCAUCAUCGAUGUUUUUAUUUUUUGUCCGGGCGAAACGUUUUAAAAUUUCCUCAACUCCGUGUGGUUUGUAUAAAGAGAAGUAACACCAAAAAUACCCGUGUAGUGAAAUAAACCAGGCCUACCUACCCCUUGCUAAAUAUACUGACAUUCCUUGAAAUCAUAGGAGGCAAGAUAAUCCAAAACAUUUAACCAACUCAUUGUCAAUUUUAAAGGGGAUGACUUAAACUUUACCCGAAUUAAUCCUUGGUGUAAUAGCUUCCUGUAAGGUUAAACUUUUCCAUUCGUAAAUUCUUAUAAGAAAUGCAAGCUCUGGAAGAGACAUAUAUUCUACAGUUAUGCUAAUCACAUAAUUAUACAUUAGUAUUCCUAACCUUAGUUAAACAAUUAAACUAUCGAUACCACUUGUUUAUGAUACCUUUAACAUUGUCAAUGUAACCUUCAGUGGUAUUGUAUAUACUGAAUAAUUUUGUUUUCUUUGCAUAAAUUGUAGACGUAUUCAUGAUUAACGAAUGCGCAAGUAGUCCGUGUCUUAAUGGUGGAUAUUGUCUGAACGUUGUAAAUCACUUUAUAUGUUAUUGUCUACCUGAUUACACUGGUGAAAGAUGUCAGACGAGUAAGCUUGUUAUUCAUUGUUUAAAGUCUGUAGCAAAACUGCCUAAGUGUAGUGUUUUUUUUUUCUACAACUGUUGUUUUCAUAGAAAGAGGGAAAUACAUGACAUAAUAUAUUUCAUUGGUAUAUUUGCAGUGUAAUAACAA
This 4295-nucleotide long non-coding RNA is filed under the name Mytilus galloprovincialis (Mediterranean mussel). Lineage: Eukaryota; Metazoa; Mollusca; Bivalvia; Mytilida; Mytilidae. The record is from RNAcentral.